RNAcentral lists this long non-coding RNA (287 nucleotides) under Selaginella moellendorffii. RNAcentral describes it as "long non-coding RNA (SMOE_LNC000380)". Lineage: Eukaryota; Viridiplantae; Streptophyta; Lycopodiopsida; Selaginellales; Selaginellaceae. The record is from RNAcentral.
CCCAUCGAAGUGAAUCUUGUAACUUUGAACUCCUUCUAGAGUCUGGCACUGACCACAACUAGAAUACUUAUCAAUUUGCUCAUCACAACCUGAUGCAGCAUACGUAGUGAUGGUGGUGUCAGCUCCCACACUCCCAGUAACCAAUGCAAUCACAACUAUGAUGAACGGGAUCACAUAUACACUAGCCUUGAGCACUCCAGCCAUAUUCACUGCUUGCCAUUGAUCCAAAGUUUUAGUGUUAUAUAGCUCAACUCAGCUGCCUGCGUGCAACUCGUGGGAUGAUUGUG